CCAAGGCGCUUGAGAGAACUCGGGUGAAGGAACUAGGCAAAAUGGCACCGUAACUUCGGGAGAAGGUGCGCCCUUUGGUGUGGUCACGUGCGUGACUGAGCAUCGAAGGGUCGCAGUAACCUGGCCGCUGCGACUGUUUAUCAAAAACACAGCACUCUGCAAACACGAAAGUGGACGUAUAGGGUGUGACGCCUGCCCGGUGCUGGAAGGUUAAUUGAUGGGGUCAGCCCAAGGCGAAGCUCUUGAUCGAAGCCCCAGUAAACGGCGGCCGUAACAAUAACGGUCCUAAGGUAGCGAAAUUCCUUGUCGGGUAAGUUCCGACCUGCACGAAUGGCGUAACGACAGCGGCGCUGUCUCCACCCGAGACUCAGUGAAAUUGAAAUCGCUGUGAAGAUGCAGCGUUCCCGCGGCAAGACGGAAAGACCCCGUGAACCUUUACUAUAGCUUUACAUUGAACGUUGAGUUCUUCUGUGUAGGAUAGGUGGGAGGCUAUGAAACCGAGACGCUAGUUUCGGUGGAGCCAUCCUUGAAAUACCACCCUGAAGUGCUUGACGUUCUAACCUAGGUCCGUAAUCCGGAUCGGGGACCAUGUAUGGUGGGUAGUUUGACUGGGGCGGUCUCCUCCCAAAGAGUAACGGAGGAGCACGAAGGUACGCUCAGCGCGGUCGGACAUCGCGCACUGUGUGCAAAGGCAUAAGCGUGCUUGACUGCGAGAUCGACGGAUCAAGCAGGUACGAAAGUAGGUCUUAGUGAUCCGGUGGUUCUGUAUGGAAGGGCCAUCGCUCAACGGAUAAAAGGUACUCCGGGGAUAACAGGCUGAUACCGCCCAAGAGUUCAUAUCGACGGCGGUGUUUGGCACCUCGAUGUCGGCUCAUCACAUCCUGGGGCUGUAGCCGGUCCCAAGGGUAUGGCUGUUCGCCAUUUAAAGUGGUACGCGAGCUGGGUUCAGAACGUCGUGAGACAGUUCGGUCCCUAUCUGUCGUGGGCGUUGGAGAUUUGAGGGGGGCUGCUCCUAGUACGAGAGGACCGGAGUGGACGUUCCGCUGGUGUUCGGGUUGUCAUGCCCAUGGCAUUGCCCGGUAGCUACGAACGAAAGUGAUAACCGCUGAAAGCAUCUAAGCGGGAAGCACGCCCCAAGAUGAGAUCUCCCGAGAGCUAGACUCUCCUUAAGGCACCAUCAAGACUAGGUGGUUGAUAGGCGCGGUGUGGAAGUGCAGCAAUGCAUUGAGCUUACGCGUACUAAUGAGCCGUGAGGCUUGACC
This 1262-nucleotide ribosomal RNA is filed under the name metagenome. RNAcentral describes it as "bacterial LSU rRNA". It matches the Rfam family "Bacterial large subunit ribosomal RNA", at positions 1681 to 2925 of the family's 2925-position model. The record is from RNAcentral.